GACGAACGCUGGCGGCGUGCCUAAUACAUGCAAGUAGGACGCAGUUGCGAACGGGUGAGUAACGCGUAGGUAACUACCUAUUAGAGGGGGAUAACUAUUGGAAACGAUAGCUAAUACCGCAUACUAGUAGAUGGACCUGCUUUGUAUUAGUUAGUAGGUAGGGUAAUGGCCUACCUAGGCAACGAUACAUAGCCGAACUGGGGGGGGGAUCGGCCACACUGGGACUGGGAAACGGCCCAGACUCCGACGGGAGGCAGCAGUAGGGAAACUUCGGGAAUGGGGCGAAACCUGACCGAGCAACGCCGCGUGAGUGAAGAAGGUUUUCGGAUCGUAAAGCUCUGUUGUUGAGGAAGCGGUACUUAACCAGAAAGGGACGGCUAACUACGUGCCAGCAGCCGCGGUAAUAC
RNAcentral lists this ribosomal RNA (407 nucleotides) under uncultured bacterium. Its description in RNAcentral is "partial 16S ribosomal RNA". It matches the Rfam family "Bacterial small subunit ribosomal RNA", at positions 28 to 526 of the family's 1533-position model. The record is from RNAcentral.